Molecule: unclassified non-coding RNA, 347 nt
Filed under: soil metagenome
Description: partial contains 5.8S ribosomal RNA, internal transcribed spacer 2, and large subunit ribosomal RNA
Rfam family: 5.8S ribosomal RNA (bases 1-120)
Source: RNAcentral
GAUGAAGAACGCAGUGAAAUGCGAUAAUUAAUGUGAAUUGCAGAAUUCAGUGAGUCAUCGAGUCUUUGAACGCACAUUGCGCCCCCUGGUAUUCCGGGGGGCAUGCCUGUCCGAGCGUCAUUGCUGCCCUCAAGCACGGCUUGUGUGUUGGGCUUCCGUCCCUGGCAACGGGGACGGGCCCAAAAGGCAGUGGCGGCACCAUGUCUGGUCCUCGAGCGUAUGGGGCUUUGUCACCCGCUCCCGUAGGUCCAGCUGGCAGCUAGCCUCGCAACCAAUCUUUUUAACCAGGUUGACCUCGGAUCAGGUAGGGAUACCCGCUGAACUUAAGCAUAUCAAUAAGCGGAGGA